RNAcentral lists this long non-coding RNA (7717 nucleotides) under Homo sapiens (human). RNAcentral's name for it is "HSALNT0299704". The record is from RNAcentral. Lineage: Eukaryota; Metazoa; Chordata; Mammalia; Primates; Hominidae.
GUUGCUGUCUGAUUUAUCUUUCAGGAGGCUCUUCCUGGCUGCAGUGAUGAAAAUCAGCUGUAAGAAGAAAGGAUGGAGAUGCAGUGAAAACAAAGCUGUCUUCAGACUCAAGUUCUUGUGGGACUAAAUCAGCAAAGGACAGAAGGUGGAAACUGAGGAAGAUGUUGCUGGAGGCGGGGCCCUUCCAGUGGAGUUAGCCAGGGUCACCUGCGGAGCCCUGCAGGUCCCAGGCUGCUGUGCUCAUGUACUGAAUAGUAUUUCUGGGAAGGCUACCCAGACUUUGAUGCAGCUUUCAAACAAAAAGUUAACAGUCUUGAGUGGCUUCUCUGUUUUCUCAGUGCACCUGUUCCUCGAUCAGGUAGUGCUGCUGGCUCAGGCCCCGACUGCCUCUGGUUCCACACAAGAAAGCUGGCAUUCCUCUUGAGUGAAGUCCCAAGUGCAGACAAAUUUAGUAGCAAACAGACUGAUCUCAAAAACUCCUACUGGUCACAGAAUAAUGACUUGUUUGAAUUAAGAAGAAAUGAUUCAAGAACUCAGUUAAAAGCAAUAAUAAUUUUAUAUAAUGAUUUUACAUGAGUUUAAAAUGGUGAACCUUUUUCUUUAACCUUUAAAAAUAUCCAUGCUUUCAUUUAAGUCAAAUAAUAAACAUAUUACACGUGUGCUUCAGGCCUCCUGGUUUACCUGGUACUUUCCACACCAUUCUCUCACUUAAUCCUCCAUGAACAUCCAUACAUAACCUGGAUGUUCAUUUGCUCUCACUUUAUCCUUGCAAAACCAUCUGGAAUUUCUCCCCUGGUGCUUCCAAGGAGAUCAUAAUUAUAACGUAGAUCCUGGAAAAGACACCUCCCAACGAGGUGACAUUUGUGACCCCUUGGAUCAAGGUCAGCCCUUACAGUAUGCUAUUUAAGUACUGAAACACAGUUUCCUGCAAAACCUUCCAAGUCAAUAUACACAUCUGUUGCUUCAAAUCAUUUAAACCGCCCUGUAAAUGUAGCCAAAUGUCCUGUUUUAGUGGGCUCUGGCUUGCCCCCAGCAGGGGUGGCUGCAGUAGUUAGUUGGGGUCCCCUUGGUCCAGGUUUUUAAUUUGCAGCAGUAUUGGAAGGGUUAUUUAAUAUAGGAGUUUUAAAUACUAUAGACAGCAGAAUGAGGACGGUGUUAUUGUGCAAAUAUUACUGGUGAAGAAACUUGGUUAAUUCCCACCAUCACACCCCUAGGAAGUGACAGAAUCACAGCUCUAAACAGGUGGGUGUUCUGCUUCCAAACCCAGGGCUCUCGGAUCAGCCAUGAGAACAUGAGGAGUUCAGCUCUUCCCAGCCAUGACUCCCAAUCACCUACCCGCAGGGGCCUUUGAUAAUAAUCCUCCAAGUCCUGAGCGUGAAGUAAUUUCUAUAUUUGCACAUGAAUUUUAGGUCAAGUGGUAUAAUAGGAUUCGCAGGGUGGUCAAACGCCAGAGCUGGAGCUCGGCUGUCGGGGCUGGACCCUGGAUCUGCUGCUACCAGCUCCCUGACCUUGUCUGAGUGGCUGCCGUCUUUGAAUUUCAGGUUUCUCAAAUGUCUAAUGGCAUAAAACAAGAUAAUGCAUAGAGGUGGUCUUGUGGGGUGCUGGGCCCAUAGUGAAUGCUCCCUAUGCAUCAUUGAAGGCGAUUCUUACUACUCUUGUCACGUAACACUUCAAACUUGCACUGGUGGUUUGCAUGCAAUUGACAUGUAAAAGCACAUCUGAUUGCUUGGAUCGUAGCUGAAGUCAAGUCCUGGUGCUUUUUUUGGCCUUUGCCGCUGUCUAGCAUGGUCCUCAGUAGAUGUUUGCAUUAUGGAAUAUGAAACCAGGAGCCCACUGAGUGUCCUACAGGCUGUUAGUUCCGGAGUUGCUGUACCAGGUGAUUUCUUGGAUACUUCUUGGUUCUAACUUCAGUUUCAUGUUUAUUGAAGACUGGCCAGACACUUAGUCCUUUAAAGCUGCUCCACUCAAUCUGAACCUACCUUUAACGCACUGUAUUUCCCAUGCCUGCCUCCACUCUGUAUCUCCCACCAGAUAGCAAUCAACUCCCUGAAAAGACAAAAACUGUGUCACGGUGUCUUCAGAGCUGAGCCUGCUAACUGGUGUGUCGUAAGCACUAAAAUACACUUUUAUUGAAUAAAUGCCGUUGACAAAUGGAAGUUAGGUAAGCCUUCUAAUUCCCAUUUUGUUUCACCUAUGUAUAUAUUAAGACCACUGUAUAUUAAAAGUCUAAUACAAAAAUCUACUAUGUUAAAUGAUAAUAUAAUAAUCUAUUCCAUCAAUAUAAGUACCAUAUUUAUUGAAUACCUACUGUUUGCCAGUCAAGGCUAUGCCAAUGAAGCAGAGAAUUAAAAAGAUAAACCGCUGCCUUGUGCAGUGGUGUGCGGACUGUCGAGGAGACGGACAGAAGCAGUGGUUACCGUGCUGGCGUGAGCCAGAAGUUUCCUGCCCUCUUGUCACUUCUGGGGUCUAGAAAAGUAGCACAAAAAUGCAUUAUGCAAAUGCAAUAUUUGGUGAAACUCACUAGGUGACAUUAUACUAAGAAAUAAAACCAAAGCUCAUCUUGGUUUCAGUUAGGCCUCAGCCCCGCUGAAGUCUCGCCGGUAUUUUUCUGCCCUGGAUACAGUGGAGACAGGCUUCAGCCACCUCACAAGCUUGCUGGACAACGGGCUUUUCUUCCUCUGUCUUCUUCAGGACUGUGAGUGCCUGACGGGCAGGAGCUGCACCCGUCACCUUGCUGUCCUCGCUGUUACCACAGGGCCACAUCAGUGAACACAGGCUCUACUGAGGCGGCAGCCUCCCCGUAGCUUGUAUUCUUGCAAAGAAGUUGAAAACCAAAUCAAUGCAGUCACAAGACACAGAUACAUAUGGAUGCAAAUUUGCUGAACUCAGGAACGACCACCAGAUUGGCAGGGCUAAUUCACCCUCAGUGUUUUGUAUUUUUUCCCUAAUUAUUCUAAAAUGAUCCUGUUGCUUUAUUCCCACAGAACAAGCACUGGCAGACGAGGAACACUAUCCCCAGCAGGCCUCGGCUGCCGGCAACGCACCCCUGCCCUCAGAAAGACAGCCUUGCUCUGAAUUUAUUUUCAUAAUUACAUGAACGUUAUCUAAAAAAAACAAAGGACGUGGGAAAGAAUAAAGCUUAAAAUAAACUUUAAGCUGUGGGAAUGCAGGGGGCCAGGCUGGAGAACAGAGAAAGCCAGAGUGAGCUCAGUGUCUCUGUGCUGAUCUACUUGGCCAGCAAGAAGGCUGCAUACAACAGAGAUCUGUGUCCACCAGCCAGAAGUUCAGGACUCAGACACACAAUAUGCUGACUUUAUUCUAGAGCUAAUUCAUUCCAAAGUAUGAGAAACAUAGAGAAAAGCCAGCAACUGUUAGCCACACAGGUAGUAACGUUUCUUUCUUAAAGACUAGAGUUAUAUUUCUUCUAUUGUGGUACAACCUCAUUGUUUUUACGGCCAUAUUAUCAUUUUAUUCAGGAAUGUUGAAAUGCUCUGAAAUAUCACUUAGUCAUUAAAAUGUUGAUUACUACAACUAAAUGACAACAUAGAAAAGUGCUUAUGAUAUAUCAUUUAGAGAAAAUUUAGGAUACACGACCUUACAAGCACUAUGACAGGAGCUGAGUAAAAGUAGACUACGUCAAGAGGCCGGAAAGGAAGACAGAAGGGAAAAGGCCCCGCGCGUCUCCGUGUCAACAGGCCGGAAAGGCAGACAGAAGGGAAAAGGCCCCGCGCGUCUCCACGUCAACAGGCCGGAAAGGCAGACAGAAGGGAAAAGGCCCCGCGCGUCUCCACGUCAACAGGCCGGAAAGGCAGACAGAAGGGAAAAGGCCCCGCGCGUCUCCACGUCAACAGGCCGGAAAGGCAGACAGAAGGGAAAAGGCCCCGCGCGUCUCCACGUCAACAGGCCGGAAAGGCAGACAGAAGGGAAAAGGCCCCGCGCGUCUCCACGUCAACAGGCCGGAAAGGCAGACAGAAGGGAAAAGGCCCCGCGCGUCUCCACGUCAACAGGCCGGAAAGGCAGACAGAAGGGAAAACGCCCCGCGCGUCUCCACGUCAACAGGCCGGAAAGGCAGACAGAAGGGAAAACGCCCCGCGCGUCUCCACGUCAACAGGCCGGAAAGGCAGACAGAAGGGAAAAGGCCCCGCGCGUCUCCACGUCAACAGGCCGGAAAGGCAGACAGAAGGGAAAAGGCCCCGCGCGUCUCCACGUCAACAGGCCGGAAAGGCAGACAGAAGGGAAAAGGCCCCGCGCGUCUCCACGUCAACAGGCCGGAAAGGCAGACAGAAGGGAAAAGGCCCCGCGCGUCUCCACGUCAACAGGCCGGAAAGGCAGACAGAAGGGAAAAGGCCCCGCGCGUCUCCACGUCAACAGGCCGGAAAGGCAGACAGAAGGGAAAACGCCCCGCGCGUCUCCACGUCAACAGGCCGGAAAGGCAGACAGAAGGGAAAAGGCCCCGCGCGUCUCCACGUCAACAGGCCGGAAAGGCAGACAGAAGGGAAAAGGCCCCGCGCGUCUCCACGUCAACAGGCCGGAAAGGCAGACAGAAGGGAAAAGGCCCCGCGCGUUUCCACGUCAACAGGCCGGAAAGGCAGACAGAAGGGAAAAGGCUCCGCGCGUUUCCAUGUCAACAGGCCGGAAAGGAAGACAGAAGGGAAAACGCUCCGCGUGUUUCCAUGUCAAGAGGCCGGAAAGGCAGACAGAAGGGAAAAGGCCCCGCGCGUUUCUGUGUCCAGAGGCCGGAAAGGCAGACAGAAGGGAAAAGGCCCUGCGCGUUUCUGUGUUCUGUUACGGGGCUGGGGUGUGCAGUCAGGGUUUUCCUUUCCAACACUUUAUAUCAUGGCUUAUUUUCUUAAUAUUAGUAAAAACACAUUAAAAAUGAGUUCAAGUAGAAAUUAAUAGAGUAAGAAUACAUAACCUGGAUGUUCAUUUGCUCUCACUUUAUCCUUGCAAAACCAUCUGGAAUUUCUCCCCUGGUGCUUCCAAGGAGAUCAUAAUUAUAACGUAGAUCCUGGAAAAGACACCUCCCAACGAGGUGACAUUUGUGACCCCUUGGAUCAAGGUCAGCCCUUACAGUAUGCUAUUUAAGUACUGAAACACAGUUUCCUGCAAAACCUUCCAAGUCAAUAUACACAUCUGUUGCUUCAAAUCAUUUAAACAGCCCUGUAAAUGUAGCCAAAUGUCCUGUUUUAGUGGGCUCUGGCUUGCCCCCAGCAGGGGUGGCUGCAGUAGUUAGUUGAGGUCCACUUGGUCCAGGUUUUUAAUUUGUAGCAGUAUUGGAAGGGUUAUUUAAUAUAGGAGUUUUAAAGCUAUAAAAUAUAUAGCCAAGAAAGACUGAGUUUUGAUGUAUGCAUACAAUCCCAAACUCCUUAAUACUAAAAAUCAAGAGACUAAAACCCUUAAGCUUCUGUUCCCAGGAGAUUAUAAUGGUUUCACAAAAGCUCCCAUGUUUCUGUUUAGACCCUGAGAAGGGCUCUUUCCACCAGAGAAGACAGAGGUCCUUGGCCCCACCUCUGAGGUGGGCACAGCCUCACCCAGCCCAGAUGGCUCUCACGGCCAGGGCCAAGACACGUCCUGGCUGAAGGCCACCGUACACAGCAGCAGGGCCCCUGAAAUAUGAACUCAACAAAAUUGUAGCAUAGAGAACUCCGUAACAGUUAAACUCUGGACACCAAAUGAAAUCCACCAGGGACAAAAAUCUGUUUCAGUAACUACUGCCAACAUCGGACUUUCCCCUGCCCUGUGAUGGGGAAAAGAGGGCAAGUUAAGAGCCACCCUCCCACAACUUUGAGCUCCAGCAGCCACUGAAAAGAACCACCUUCCCCACAUGACACAGACAAGACUCACCAGUGACAGGGCCAGAAUCAGACCCUCUGCAUUCCCAUUUUUGUCCCACAGAUGUGUAGCUGAACUGCUUUGACUCCACUGAUCUAUCUUAAAAAAAUACUUGUUAGCCGAACUUCGACUCAGCUUCUCCUCUCGGCCAAGCCCACCCAUGAAUGCUGCGAUGGGGACCCCACCCUCCCCUCCAUCUCUUCCCAGUGGGCUGACCCAUUUCCUGCCCACUGUCCACUGCGCCACGGGCCCCUCCAUGCCUCACCCAGGUGUUCUAGGCUUGGUUACUCCCUCCUCCUAAAACAAAAGUGCUUUUCUGCCUGAGAUGCUUGAAGUUCUUUGGGGUCAGAGCAUUCACCCUGUGUCAUGAAGUCCCCUCCCUCUCUCAAAAUGAGAACUUCAGGUAAACUCUCUGCUUAAGCGAGUCUGGAUUUGUGUUUCACUGAAACACAGAGAAGACAGAGAGGACACUACACUGGCUGAGAACUACCAUACGUCCUUAAUAACAAUGAACAAUGAACAAGAGAGAGGGCCCCACGUUCUGGCAACAUGGCGAACCUGUGAACUAGGGAAGCCCUCCCAGCACAGAAAGUGCCAGGAAAAUAAAAACAAACAGAACAUUUUAAAAUUUAUGACUGUGUAAGUAGAAAAAUAAGGUGAGUCUUAGAGGUAUGAAUCUGUAAGAACAGGCAGCCUUGAUUGGCUGAGGCUGUGAUUUUCCCAGAAGGAAAAUGUGGCCGAGGCAUGGGGGUUCAUAGGUUUCACCUGAGGGCGGUGGAAAUGGCCUUUGUAAGUUUGAGUCCUGCAAAGGGGACAAUUACAGCAUGAGAAAAGGGGACAGACCCUCAGGAUAAUCACUCUGUUUGAAUUCUGGUGGAGGGGAAAUGAGACCAAAAAUAUCACUCCAGAGUCUUCCUCAACUCAGUGCUUUGAUUUGGGGUUCAAUUCAUGCUGUCUCUGUGGCCCAGCAAGCCCUAAUUCUAGAAUGGAAAGAUUGGUACCAGGUAGAAGCAAAAACACUCCUCUCUGGGGCAAAACACUUUAAAGAAGGCCUGGGCCACGUUCCAGGCCUUUAGGAGACUCUCCUAGGAAAGUGGGAUCUGAUUUGCUCCAGUCGUGGAGCCUGGGAAGGUGGUUCUGGGGGAAGGUCGUGCCUUUCUGACCAGCCUCUGAGAGCUGAGUCAAGAAGUUAGAGGAGAGCUGGUGCCUGGUUGGGCCUGGCCAGUAACUCCUGCAGGAACUGCAGUGAGGGCCGACCCUGAGCCCAGAAAGGUUCCCGAUGAUUAACAGGAGGCUCUGAAAAGUGCAUCAUUUAUUCUUAGCAUUGUCAAAUUGCUUGACCCAAGUCAGAGGUGAUUUUUUGGUUUAUUAUUUGCAAAGCAUCGUGCCUUUACCCUGCAGGGGCCAUUUCCCCUCACAAGGAAUGCAGCAAGGAGCUUGGAAGCAGACGGCUGUGGGGAAGGACCAGCAUGGGUGGGGGUGCUUUGAGAGGAGAGACAGAGGGCCUUUGCCCUUUCACCGGAGAGACAUGGUGCCACUAAGAGUUGCGAAGGGUAAAGAAUGUGUGAAGACACAGAUACCUUGGGGGACAGUUUUUCCUCUAACUCAGGAAUGAGGAUGGUUCAACUCACACUAUUUCAAGCCUUCCAAGUAAACAGUAGUUAGUAAAAACACAAUACCUGUCUCUAAUAUUACUUGCCUAAAUAUAUGGACAUAUGAAAAUGUAUCUCAAAAAAAUAAUCUAAAGAGAAGGAGAAAACUAUAAUAAAAGGUGUUUAUUGCAGUGAUAAAAAUAUCAAACAACAGUAGUAAAUGUAAGUCUUGCAGUCAAGCUUUAGGGUAUUGUUCAAUAAUCAAAAUAAAAUGUUGAUUAUGUAGCAACACA